CUCGUAGGCGGCCAACUAAGUCAGACGUGAAAUCCCUCGGCUUAACCGGGGAACUGCGUCUGAUACUGGAUGGCUCGAGUUUGGGAGAGGGAUGCGGAAUUCCAGGUGUAGCGGUGAAAUGCGUAGAUAUCUGGAGGAACACCGGUGGCGAAGGCGGCAUCCUGGACCAAUACUGACGCUGAGGAGCGAAAGCCAGGGGAGCAAACG
RNAcentral lists this ribosomal RNA (207 nucleotides) under uncultured bacterium. Its description in RNAcentral is "partial 16S ribosomal RNA". It matches the Rfam family "Bacterial small subunit ribosomal RNA", at positions 568 to 774 of the family's 1533-position model. The record is from RNAcentral.